CUGGGUAAGGAGCCUGCCAUCCUAGUCCUGGCCCCAGAAGCUCAUUACUGAUGCUCCCGCCUCCAGCCGGGUCCCUGUGGACAGGGGAGUGCAGGAGGCUCUAAUGGCUCUGAGCAGCUCUUGGUGGAGGCUCGAUGGAGGCGGGAGCAGGAGGGGCUGUGGUUUCUGCCUCCACUGGAGCCAGAACUGCCUCUGCCUAGGGCUGGCCGGGAAGAUGCUGGAUGGGCCCCUGCUCCAGCUGCUCCUUACCGUGGCUCUGUUCCCCAGCAUCCUUGGGACAGUCUUGGUGCAGAACCUGCACCUCUGCGAGGGCUACGUGGGCCCUGAUGGCCGCUCCCACCCCGGCUUCUACUGCCCGCGGCUGACGGACCCCCCCGGCCACCGCUACUGCUGCCAGCCCAGCCUGGAGGCUCUCAAGUCCUGCUGCUCCCAGCUGGCCCUGGAAGCCCUCACCGGAGUGAACCUCUCAAGCCUGGCUAGCCCCGGUCUACUGCGGAACCCGCUGGCCCUGCCUUUCGUGGCGCUCUAUGGGCUCCUUGUCCUUCUGCUUAUGGCCAUCGACCUCUGCCACUUCUACUGGACUCACCGGAGCCGCCUCAGCCGCCUGCUGC
RNAcentral lists this long non-coding RNA (611 nucleotides) under Serinus canaria (Common canary). RNAcentral's name for it is "lncRNA (ENSSCAG00000014269.1)". Lineage: Eukaryota; Metazoa; Chordata; Aves; Passeriformes; Fringillidae. The record is from RNAcentral.